CCUCACCUUAGCAGCAGUAUGUGUUUUCAUCUCCCCUUCAGCCAGCAGCACACCCACUUUGCAGUCAAUCUAGCUUCCACCCUCCCCAUCUGAGCUAAUCUCCCAGAUGGUAUUUAAUCAAAUGCUUUCUCCAAGCCAGCAUGGAUGAGCUCUACUGCACUCUCUGCAUCUAUAAAGUCAAUUAUGUUCCUGAUCUUACUUUGAUAAGUCCAUACUGCUUGUUAUAUCAUUUACUGCCAUUAUACUUUUCUUCCACGUCUGUUCUGAAAUCUUACCUGUUCUUAAGUUUUUGAGGCGUUUGGAGCUCUUCUCUGUGGGCAUUUCUCCUGGCUGGAGGGAGAAAUUGUUAUUAGUCCUUUCGUAUCAGGCAAGGACAGCUUAAGCCUUCCAUAUCCAAGUCCUUUCAGAGGUGUCCAACAUGUUAAAGUUUCUAUCUUAUCAAUACCAGCUGUAUUCUUCCUUCUCUUCUCCAUUACAAUGCUCUCCCCUACUUUCCUUCUGCAUUUGAGGGACCUUCUGACUCUGCUGGAUGGCCUCAGGUGAGGAAGCAGCAGCAGAAGCAGCAGUGCUACCCCCAGGUGUCCUGCAGCUCUCAGGGCUUCCAGCUCACAGUUGCAGGCGAUGUUGGCAGGAGAACAAAUGGGUAUAAAAUGACCACAAAUGCAUUUAACCUGGAAAUGAAUAGGAAGCUUCUAAUAAUCGCAGCCAUAAUGUUCCCACUACAUUCCCGCAGGACCAGUGCCAAAUACAUUUGAGAACUUGUGAAUCUUGUAUGGUGCCUCAGCAAGCCUGGAGAAGAACUUGCUUGAAGUGGAUGCAGUGGAAAGGACUUUUUGAAGGAUGUAAUUUGCAAGGGUUUAUCGAAGUUUUCUUUGAUUUCACUGCCUGAAAGUACAUCUCAUUCAGAUGAGAAUGAAAUUAAACCUGAAAAAAAAUGGAAUUUUGUGUUGAACUGAUUCUGGGAAACUAUGAAUUUUAUUGCUAAU
Long non-coding RNA from Cygnus olor (mute swan), 986 nucleotides. RefSeq lists it as uncharacterized. The record is from RefSeq and is a predicted model, not a curated record. Lineage: Eukaryota; Metazoa; Chordata; Aves; Anseriformes; Anatidae. The transcript has 5 exons.